This 525-nucleotide ribosomal RNA is filed under the name uncultured bacterium. RNAcentral describes it as "bacterial SSU rRNA". It matches the Rfam family "Bacterial small subunit ribosomal RNA", at positions 984 to 1509 of the family's 1533-position model. The record is from RNAcentral.
ACAUCCAGCGAACUUGGCAGAGAUGCCUUGGUGCCUUCGGGAACGCUGAGACAGGUGCUGCAUGGCUGUCGUCAGCUCGUGUUGUGAAAUGUUGGGUUAAGUCCCGNAACGAGCGCAACCCUUAUCCUUUGUUGCCAGCGAUUCGGUCGGGAACUCAAAGGAGACUGCCGGUGAUAAACCGGAGGAAGGUGGGGAUGACGUCAAGUCAUCAUGGCCCUUACGAGUAGGGCUACACACGUGCUACAAUGGCGCAUACAAAGAGAAGCGACCUCGCGAGAGCAAGCGGACCUCAUAAAGUGCGUCGUAGUCCGGAUCGGAGUCUGCAACUCGACUCCGUGAAGUCGGAAUCGCUAGUAAUCGUGGAUCAGAAUGCCACGGUGAAUACGUUCCCGGGCCUUGUACACACCGCCCGUCACACCAUGGGAGUGGGUUGCAAAAGAAGUAGGUAGCUUAACCUCCGGGAGGGCGCUUACCACCUUGUGAUUCAUGACUGGGGUGAAGUCGUAACAAGGUAAGCGUAGCGAG